CACAAUCUGGAAAUUCUUGUCUUCUCUCCCUUUCUUCUUUGUCCUCUGACAUAUUUGGGAGCGACAAGGUAGAGGGUUAGGGAGGGGUGACGUGGUAGGGCGGAGGUAGAGGGCUAGGGAGGGGUGACGUGGUAGGGUGGAGGUAGAGGGCUAGAGGGAGGGGUGACGUGGUAGGGUGGAGGUAGAGGGUUAGGGAGGGGUGACGUGGUAGGGUGGAGGUAGAGGGCUAGAGGGAGGGGUGACGUGGUAGGGUGGAGGUAGAGGGUUAGGGAGGGGUGACGUGGUAGGGUGGAGGUAGAGGGCUAGAGGGAGGGGUGACGUGGUAGGGUGGAGGUAGAGGGUUAGGGUGGGGUGACGUGGUAGGGCGGAGGUAGAGGGCUAGAGGGAGGGGUGAGGUGGUAGGGCGGAGGUAGAGGGUUAGGGAGGGGUGACGUGGUAGGGCGGAGGUAGAGGGCUAGAGGGAGGGGUGACGUGGUAGGGUGGAGGUAGAGGGUUAGGGAGGGGUGACGUGGUAGGGCGGAGGUAGAGGGCUAGAGGGAAGGGUGACGUGGUAGGGACGGAGGUAGAGGGCUAGAGGGAGGGGUGACGUGGUAGGGACGGAGGUAGAGGGCUAGAGGGAGGGGUGACGUGGUAGGGACGGAGGUAGAGGGCUAGAGGGAGGGGUGACGUGGUAGGGACGGAGGUAGAGGGCUAGAGGGAGAGGAAGGAAUAAAGGAUUGGAUGAGAAUGUCAGGCGAUUAUAACAUUUACAUGUCUUUAGAACUGAUAUCUGUUUUGUUACCAUAGUAACCAUGCAGAGCCAAAUUCAGUCUCCUCUCAUGGUUUCUUCUGGGAUGGGGGACAACUGGUCUGUCCAGAAGAACACAACAUUAUUAUGUUCACAACAAACCCACAGGGAGCAACAGGUUGUCAGUUGGUAGAGAUGUCUGAUUGACAUUCUCCCAGCACUGUGUUUACCCCCGUCUGUUACCUGUCUGUACACUGGUACCCCCAUCUGUUACCUGUCUGUACACUGUCUGGUACCCCUGACAGUCUGUUACCUGUCUGUACACUGUC
Long non-coding RNA from Esox lucius (northern pike), 1056 nucleotides. The record is from Ensembl. NCBI's taxonomy places the organism in Eukaryota, Metazoa, Chordata, Actinopteri, Esociformes, Esocidae.